UUUAAAUGUAAUCAUAAGUUUCCACGCCUAACUUUAAUCGUGUCCGUCUUAUUUGAAAAUUUCUUGUAAUUAGUAUUUUCUUAUGAGAUGAUAAAACACUUAUCUUUUUAAAUGAACGAUUAAAGUUGGACAUAAAAAAUCAUGGCUGCACUAUUC
Molecule: microRNA precursor, 156 nt
Organism: Oryza sativa Indica Group (long-grained rice)
Lineage: Eukaryota; Viridiplantae; Streptophyta; Magnoliopsida; Poales; Poaceae
Rfam family: MIR812 microRNA precursor family
Source: Rfam